UACGGAGGGGACUAGCGUUGUUCGGAAUUACUGGGCGUAAAGCGCACGUAGGCGGAUUUGUAAGUCAGGGGUGAAAUCCCGGGGCUCAACCUCGGAACUGCCUUUGAUACUGCAAAUCUCGAGUCCGGAAGAGGUGAGUGGAAUUCCUAGUGUAGAGGUGAAAUUCGCAGAUAUCAGGAAGAACACCCGUGGCGAAAGCGGCUCUCUGGAACGGUACUGACGCUGAGACGCGAAAGCGUGGGGAGCGAACAGG
RNAcentral lists this ribosomal RNA (253 nucleotides) under uncultured bacterium. RNAcentral's name for it is "partial 16S ribosomal RNA". It matches the Rfam family "Bacterial small subunit ribosomal RNA", at positions 524 to 776 of the family's 1533-position model. The record is from RNAcentral.